AUAAAUGAAAUAAAGAAAAUAUAAUAUAAUUUUAUAGUUAUAUAAAUAUAAAAUACAAUUCUAAAUAUUUUUAUAUAUUAUAUAAAAAUAUUUUACUGUAAUAUACUUGUAUACAGACUUUUGUAAAUUAUGCAUUACAGAAAUUGGGGCAUAAUUGUCAUCUUAAAAAUCUGAAGUUGUAUAACCAUACACAAGCUAUAAUUUCAUAUAUCUUGAUUUUGGGGUGAAAUAUGACCUGGUCAGGUUCUUUAAUGGUUUUGUGUGAUUUGACUAAAUGCACCAGCUUACAUACUGUAUCUCCUUCCUGUCUGUAGGUUUUAAGUCGGAGGGGGAAAUAAUGAGUCCAAUGUGAGAUGUUAUUAUCAGCAGACUAAUCUGAAAUGGUUGGAUGUAGAGAAGCAGCUUAAGCUCAUAUUAGCACCUAGUUGUGGCUGCUGAGAGAACAUUUGAGCAGCUAUGUCCUUUAUGAAUGUUUUAUGUAGGUUUGUUUUAUGAAUAGUGCAGUGCUUGAUGGUGUUGUCAUUUAAUAUGUUAAAUCUGUUGCAAGAAUGAAAAACCACACAAAACUGAAAGUGAUUUAGAGGGUUUGGUUGAUCAUUUUCAAGUUAUGGUUAGCAUUACUGCUUUUACUCACAAGACGGCCGCAAUCAUCUAUCAUAAAACCCUACAUUUCUCGCAUAAGCGAAAGCAAGUGUUAUUCAUAAUGGUACCUCUUACUCAUUUUCAAUGCAGAACUUUACCUGAACUCCCAUAAAACACGUUCUGCUGAAUGUUUACAGUACAGGUCAGAAUAACAGGGAUUGACAUGUCUAUAACAGUAUUUUAUUUUAGAGAAAUGUAAAAUAAACCUUACAUAGCUGUACAAAGAUGUAUUUUUUUUCUUCAUAUUUCAGUCUCAGCAUAUACUGGUGACUGGCAACUCGCCAUAAUGUGUGGUUUAGUCUGCAUCUGACUAGACUUUUUCAUUGGUUGGCACAUGUAACAAGCAGGUCACAGUCAUCUUGUAUGCCUGACAUCAUAAUGGCCCCGAGCAUUAAGAAUUCUGAGAAUUAGCAAAUUUAUCUUGGCAUAUCAGUGCAUGUUUCUAUUUUACAGCCUUAGAUUAAGCAUGAACGUCUAACGGGCAGGCUGGAAAACUCUUGGCCUGCUGUCUGUUCAAUUAGAGUCCAAUCUAACCUUUGUAGAUCUGGCCAGAGUAAUAAGACUUGGGCACAGAAGUUGUGGAGUUUCAUCUGAAACGUCAAUCAGUAGCCAGACUAACCAUUGGAAAUAAAGUUUGGAAUAAAAUAA
Cyprinus carpio carpio is the source of this 1290-nucleotide long non-coding RNA. Lineage: Eukaryota; Metazoa; Chordata; Actinopteri; Cypriniformes; Cyprinidae. The record is from Ensembl.